Oreochromis aureus is the source of this 320-nucleotide long non-coding RNA. NCBI's taxonomy places the organism in Eukaryota, Metazoa, Chordata, Actinopteri, Cichliformes, Cichlidae. The record is from Ensembl.
UGGAUUAUACCAACAUCACAUUGUUUUUUAUAUUCAUAUUUAUAUCAAUCUUUGUUUUCCAUUUUGAUGAUCGGAAGAGUUUUGCACAAUUUACGAGAUCUCUUGGGAACAACAUCCAGACAACCAUCACAGCUGAGUCUGGACAGAACGUCACUCUGACAUGUCGAGCUCCAUCAGACAAAACCAUCAGUGCUGUAGAGUGGAACAGAACUGACCUGGGAGAUAAAUAUGUGCUUUUGUACCGGGAUGGUCACUUUCAGGAUGAUGACCAGCAUCCAUCUUUUAAGAACCGGGUGGAUCUGCAGGACAGCCAGAUGAAG